GAUGAACGCUGGCGGCGUGCCUGAUACAUGCAAGUCGAGCGAACAGACGAGGAGCUUGCUCCUCUGACGUUAGCGGCGGACGGGUGAGUAACACGUGGAUAACCUACCUAUAAGACUGGGAUAACUUCGGGAAACCGGAGCUAAUACCGGAUAAUAUAUUGAACCGCAUGGUUCAAUAGUGAAAGACGGUUUUGCUGUCACUUAUAGAUGGAUCCGCGCCGCAUUAGCUAGUUGGUAAGGUAACGGCUUACCAAGGCAACGAUGCGUAGCCGACCUGAGAGGGUGAUCGGCCACACUGGAACUGAGACACGGUCCAGACUCCUACGGGAGGCAGCAGUAGGGAAUCUUCCGCAAUGGGCGAAAGCCUGACGGAGCAGCGCCGCGUGAGUGAUGAAGGUCUUCGGAUCGUAAAACUCUGUUAUUAGGGAAGAACAAAUGUGUAAGUAACUAUGCACGUCUUGACGGUACCUAAUCAGAAAGCCACGGCUAACUACGUG
Molecule: ribosomal RNA, 497 nt
Filed under: uncultured bacterium
Lineage: Bacteria
Description: partial 16S ribosomal RNA
Rfam family: Bacterial small subunit ribosomal RNA
Source: RNAcentral